This 253-nucleotide ribosomal RNA is filed under the name uncultured bacterium. RNAcentral's name for it is "partial 16S ribosomal RNA". It matches the Rfam family "Bacterial small subunit ribosomal RNA", at positions 524 to 776 of the family's 1533-position model. The record is from RNAcentral.
UACGAAGGGGGCUAGCGUUGCUCGGAAUCACUGAGCGUAAAGGGCGCGUAGGCGGCCGAUCAAGUCGGGGGUGAAAGCCUGUGGCUCAACCACAGAAUUGCCUUCGAUACUGUUCGGCUCGAGACCGGAAGAGGUGAGUGGAACUGCGAGUGUAGAGGUGAAAUUCGUAGAUAUUCGCAAGAACACCAGUGGCGAAGGCGGCUCACUGGUCCGGUUCUGACGCUGAGGCGCGAAAGCGUGGGGAGCAAACAGG